RNAcentral lists this ribosomal RNA (259 nucleotides) under uncultured Eubacteriales bacterium. Its description in RNAcentral is "uncultured Clostridiales bacterium partial 16S ribosomal RNA". It matches the Rfam family "Bacterial small subunit ribosomal RNA", at positions 80 to 339 of the family's 1533-position model. The record is from RNAcentral. Lineage: Bacteria; Bacillati; Bacillota; Clostridia; Eubacteriales.
AUCUGAUUUAACUUAGUGGCGGACGGGUGAGUAAUGCGUGAGCAACCUGCCCUUCAGAGGGGGACAACAGUUGGAAACGACUGCUAAUACCGCAUGAAGCAUAGAGGUCGCAUGAUCUUUAUGCCAAAGAUUUAUCGCUUCAAGAUGGCCUCGCGUCUGAUUAGCUAGUUGGAGGGGUAACGGCCCACCAAGGCGACGAUCAGUAGCCGGUCUGAGAGGAUGAACGGCCACAUUGGGACUGAGACACGGCCCAGACUCC